This 442-nucleotide ribosomal RNA is filed under the name uncultured Bacteroidota bacterium. RNAcentral describes it as "bacterial SSU rRNA". It matches the Rfam family "Bacterial small subunit ribosomal RNA", at positions 224 to 663 of the family's 1533-position model. Lineage: Bacteria; Pseudomonadati; Bacteroidota. The record is from RNAcentral.
GAUGAGCAUGCGUCCCAUUAGCUAGUUGGUAAGGUAACGGCUUACCAAGGCUACGAUGGGUAGGGGUCCUGAGAGGGAGAUCCCCCACACUGGUACUGAGACACGGACCAGACUCCUACGGGAGGCAGCAGUGAGGAAUAUUGGACAAUGGGCGCAAGCCUGAUCCAGCCAUGCCGCGUGCAGGAAGACGCAUCUAUGGUGUGUAAACUGCUUUUGUACGGGAAGAAACACCCCCUCGUGAGGGGGCUUGACGGUACCGUAAGAAUAAGGAUCGGCUAACUCCGUGCCAGCAGCCGCGGUAAUACGGAGGAUCCAAGCGUUAUCCGGAAUCAUUGGGUUUAAAGGGUCCGUAGGCGGUUUGAUAAGUCAGUGGUGAAAGCCCAUCGCUCAACGAUGGAACGGCCAUUGAUACUGUCAGACUUGAAUUAUUGUGAAGUAACUA